RNAcentral lists this long non-coding RNA (526 nucleotides) under Junco hyemalis (dark-eyed junco). RNAcentral describes it as "lncRNA (ENSJHYG00000012846.1)". The record is from RNAcentral. Lineage: Eukaryota; Metazoa; Chordata; Aves; Passeriformes; Passerellidae.
AGAGCAGGCAGGACAGAGAGAAGCACAGGAGAUCAGAUCUGCUACGGACCACAGAGCAGAGGCUUCCCAGCCCUGAGACCAACAGAAAUGCCAGGACUCACUGAAAUCCUUCAGAGGGAUUUUUUCUCAAAUGAAGAAUCCAAUAUAUUUUCUUAAGGAUGGAGAGAAAAGCAGAAAGAGAUAUUUCAGCCUGCUCUUCCCUUUGGAGAUGAGAGCAGCUGAAUGGAAAGGAUUAUGUAAUGUUUUGGGCUUGAUCCAGAUGCCUUUGCAGCUUGGCCUUUUUUCAUGUAGAGAGACAUUUACUUUCCCAAACCCAGGCACGAGGGAUGCAGUUGCAAGGAAACCCAAGAAAAUGAAGUUUACUCAUUUCUGACCAUUCCUGAUGGACACAACUGGAAAGUUCACCUUCCAUGAUGACUACACCACUUCUGAGAUUGUAUAGAUAUCACUUACUGACAUGAUGAUAAUAAUUUACAUAUCUAAAUGCACACUCUGGUUUUCCAUUCUUUAUGAUGACCAAAUCCUG